AUGGAUCACCUUGAAGUUGUAGAAAGCGUAGGAGCUAGCUGUGGGCUUAUACUAUUUUGGCGGAACCCUGUUGCAAUUGAAAUUUUGGACAGGUCAAAGAACUAUAUUGAUGCUAAAAUAGGUACAUCGACGGAGGAGAAUUGGAGGUUCACUGGAUUCUAUGGUGAACCAAAGUGGGAGGAUAAACAUUUGUCAUGGGAUUAUCUCAAAAAUCUAUAUCUGCAAUCGUCUCUUCCAUGGGUUGUUGCGGGUGACUUCAACGAAAUCCUAUACUCUCAUGAGAAAGAAGGAGGUGCUCCGAGACCAGUACAUAUGAUGCAGAAUUUCCAAGACGCACUGGUUGAAUGUGAAUUGGACGACAUGGGCUGCACGGGUGAGCUUUAUACAUGGAGGAGAAGACGCCCGAAGGAACGGUUGGACCGUGCGGCCUGUAACGCUGGUUUUCACGGCCUGUUCCCACAUGCAGUAAUAACGAAUGCACCUCACACUAAAUCUGAUCACAGGCCGCUGGUUCUCGAUACAGAUGGAGAGGCGGGCAGCACUAAUAGUGGUCAAAGGUUGCAUCGCUUUGAGGCAAGCUGGCUGAAAGAGAAUGAUGUGAUGGAUAGGGUCACAGAGGCAUGGAACCGAAUGCCUAACUCGGUGCCAUUGGUGGAACAAACAGCGGCAGUUCACUUGGAGCUGCAUGAAUGGGACCGAAGAGUACUCAAGUCCCCCCCAACACCGAUUAAAAAAACUGAAGGAGGAGCUGGAGACUUUGCGACCAGGGCCACUCACUGA
RNAcentral lists this ribosomal RNA (780 nucleotides) under Triticum aestivum (bread wheat). RNAcentral's name for it is "partial small subunit ribosomal RNA". The record is from RNAcentral. Lineage: Eukaryota; Viridiplantae; Streptophyta; Magnoliopsida; Poales; Poaceae.